Molecule: ribosomal RNA, 450 nt
Filed under: uncultured bacterium
Lineage: Bacteria
Description: bacterial SSU rRNA
Rfam family: Bacterial small subunit ribosomal RNA
Source: RNAcentral
UCAAGAAACUUCCACAAUGGGCGAAAGCCUGAUGGAGCGACGUCGCGUGAUGGACGAAGUGCUUCGGCACGUAAACAUCUUUUAUGUGGGAUGAAAUUAUUGACAGUACCACAUGAAUAAGGGGCUCCUAACUCUGUGCCAGCAGGAGCGGUAAUACAGAGGCCCCAAGCGUUAUCCGGAAUCACUGGGCGUAAAGGGUGUCGAGGCGGUUGUAUUAGUCGUUCGUAAAAUCUACGAGCUUAACUUGUAGGCGGCGAACGAAACGGUACGACUUGAGGUUUGGAGAGGUGCGUGGAACUCACGGUGUAGGGGUGAAAUCCGUUGAUAUCGUGGGGAACACCGAAGGCGAAGGCAGCGCACUGGCCAAAAUCUGACGCUCACACACGAAAGCUAGGGUAGCGAAGAGGAUUAGAUACCCUGGUAGUCCCUGAGCGGGCUGGCAAGGCGCAU